GCAAAGCCUGAGCAGCUGUGAUCCUGGUGGCAGGGUUCAGGUCCAGCAGCCGGUCCAGCAAGGUGUAGGCUUCAUCAGGGACUCUGUCCCAGCCCUGCCCCUUGUCCUCUGUCUCCAGGGUCUGUUUAGCGAGGGCUUUCAACAGGUGAUAGAUGUACAUACGGACCUCUUCAAAGUGUAACAAAGCGAAUAAAACCCAGGAUCAUGUGGCAUACUCCCAAAGUCUCAUAUCCAUUUACAGUGCAGGAUAAAAGUGUGUCAGUGACAGAGUCUCACAGAGGACAGGCAGGUCUCCCCGAGUGAAGGCCUCUUCUAUCAACUUCCUGUCUGACAGGACCACUCCUGCAUGGUGGGGAAUCCCAGCACCACCUUCCUCAGCUUCACUGGACGAUGGCUCUCAUCCAUAUCCAGUUGACUUCAGAAACAUCUCAGAGGUUCAACAACUAACAUGCAGGUAAAAUAAAACUACAUUUGAUAAUGA
Molecule: long non-coding RNA, 481 nt
Organism: Scophthalmus maximus (turbot)
Lineage: Eukaryota; Metazoa; Chordata; Actinopteri; Pleuronectiformes; Scophthalmidae
Exons: 5
Source: RefSeq, a predicted model, not a curated record